GUGCUUGCUUCUGUAGCACAUGUACUAAAAUUGUAACAAUACAGAGAAGAUUAGCAUGGCCUCUGCACAAGGAUGACGCACAAAUCCAUGAAGUGUUUUAUGUUUUC
This is a small nuclear RNA of Acomys russatus (golden spiny mouse), 107 nucleotides long. Lineage: Eukaryota; Metazoa; Chordata; Mammalia; Rodentia; Muridae. The record is from RefSeq and is a predicted model, not a curated record.